GACGAACGCUGGCGGCGUGCUUAACACAUGCAAGUCGAACGGAAAGGCCCUGCUUUUGUGGGGUGCUCGAGUGGCGAACGGGUGAGUAACAAGUGAGUAACCUGCCCUUGACUUUGGGAUAACUUCAGGAAACUGGGGCUAAUAACGGAUAGGAGCUCCUGCUGCAUGGUGGGGGUUGGAAAGUUUCGGCGGUUGGGGCUGGACUCGCGGCUUAUCAGCUUGUUGGUGGGGUAGUGGCUUACCAAGGCUUUGACGGGUAGCCGGCCUGAGAGGGUGACCGGCCACAUUGGGACUGAGAUACGGCCCAGACUCCUACGGGAGGCAGCAGUGGGGAAUAGUGCACAAUGGGCGGAAGCCUGAUGCAGCAACGCCGCGUGCGGGAUGACGGCCUUCGGGUUGUAAACCGCUUUCGCCUGUGACGAAGCGUGAGUGACGGUAAUGGGUAAAGAAGCACCGGCUAACUACGUG
Molecule: ribosomal RNA, 468 nt
Filed under: uncultured bacterium
Lineage: Bacteria
Description: partial 16S ribosomal RNA
Rfam family: Bacterial small subunit ribosomal RNA
Source: RNAcentral